AACAGGAUUAGAUACCCUGGUAGUCCACGCCCUAAACGAUGUCUACUAGUUGUCGGGUUUUAAUUAACUUGGUAACGCAGCUAACGCGUGAAGUAGACCGCCUGGGGAGUACGGUCGCAAGAUUAAAACUCAAAGGAAUUGACGGGGACCCGCACAAGCGGUGGAUGAUGUGGAUUAAUUCGAUGCAACGCGAAAAACCUUACCUACCCUUGACAUGUACGGAAGGCCGGAGAGAUUUGGCUGUGCUCGAAAGAGAACCGUAACACAGGUGCUGCAUGGCUGUCGUCAGCUCGUGUCGUGAGAUGUUGGGUUAAGUCCCGCAACGAGCGCAACCCUUGUCAUUAGUUGCUACGAAAGGGCACUCUAAUGAGGCUGCCGGUGACAAACCGGAGGAAGGCGGGGAUGACGUCAAGUCCUCAUGGCCCUUAUGGGUAGGGCUUCACACGUCAUACAAUGGUACAUACAGAGCGCCGCCAACCCGCGAGGGGGAGCUAAUCGCAGAAAGUGUAUCGUAGUCCGGAUUGUAGUCUGCAACUCGACUACAUGAAGUUGGAAUCGCUAGUAAUCGCGGAUCAGCAUGUCGCGGUGAAUACGUUCCCGGGUCUUGUACACACCGCCCGUCACACCAUGGGAGCGGGUUUUACCAGAAGUAGGUAGCUUAACCGCAAGGAGGGCGCUUACCACGGUAGGAUUCGUGACUGGGGUGAAGUCGUAACAAGGUAACC
This 725-nucleotide ribosomal RNA is filed under the name uncultured bacterium. Its description in RNAcentral is "bacterial SSU rRNA". It matches the Rfam family "Bacterial small subunit ribosomal RNA", at positions 771 to 1501 of the family's 1533-position model. The record is from RNAcentral.